RNAcentral lists this ribosomal RNA (361 nucleotides) under uncultured bacterium. Its description in RNAcentral is "bacterial SSU rRNA". It matches the Rfam family "Bacterial small subunit ribosomal RNA", at positions 28 to 412 of the family's 1533-position model. The record is from RNAcentral.
AGCGAACGCUAGCGGCGGGCUUAACACAUGCAAGUCGAGCGCGUGGCUUCGGCCACGUGCGGCGAACGGGUGAGUAACACGUAGGUCAUCUGCCCUUUGGUGGGGAAUAACCCGAGGAAACUCGGGCUAAUACCGCAUACUGCCUUCGGGUCAAAGGCUUCGGCCGCCAGAGGAUGAGCCUGCGUCGCAUUACCUAGUUGGUGGGGUAAUGGCCCACCAAGGGGACGAUGCGUAGCUGGUCUGAGAGGAUGAUCAGCCACACUGGGACUGAGGCACGGCCCAGACUCCUACGGGGGGCAGCAGUGGGGAAUAUUGCGCAAUGGGGGAAACCCUGACGCAGCCACGCCGCGUGGGUGAUGAA